UGAGAAAGAGACAAAUAUAUCAUUGUUUUUUGUGAGUCAAGUAGAAUAAUUACGGCAUUUCCAUAUGAUAGUUCUUCAGAGGUUUGAUUGUACAUCUGUGGAUUGAUCAUCCCAAAAAAAUUGUACUAGAGCUUGCAAAAAAUAUAUUUUAUCAACAAAGCUUUUGUGUACAAGUAAAUUAUAAGUAGAAUGGACUCAAAAAACAGAUUGUGCACUAAUUCGCCGCCACUUCCUCGUGUUCGGCAACCCCCUCCGGAGCCCAGAGCACGGCAGACGCCGCCGCAGCCUCGUCGUGCGUCUGCUCAAUGUCCACCGCAGCCGAGAGAGCGGCAACCACCACCACAGCCAAGAGAGAGGCAAAUACCUCCCCAACCCAGACAUUCAUAGUAUAACUAAGUUGAUGUAAAGGUGGCAUAAACUCUGACAAUAUGUUAAAUACUUGAAAAUUUUAUUAUUUUAAGAUUUAAAGUUUACCUGUAAAUCUAAAAAGUACAGUAGACACUUCUAUGGAUAGUUGAUGUGAUGUUGAUUGCAUCAAUAUGUGUCAUUAAAUCCCAACUAUGACCUUCUCCAAUCAGGGCUUUGCCCAUUAUUAUGGGCAUGGUUUUGUUAUUUAACUGAUUCCCUGUUCUUAAAAUAAAACAAUUGAUUUGUUUAUAUGUAAUUUAUCAGACAGGGAACCUAUUAGACUAAAAUUUAGAAGACGGACGGACUUUAAGUUUACUAAAAUGUAAAAUUAUACUAUCUUUUUAAAUGUUUGAAAUAAAUUACUGUUUUAUUUGUCAAAAAAAAAAGUGUGAAAAAGUUACCAAAAAUUUUGAAGCCAGUGCUUGAUCUAAUGUCCGCCUAUUUGACAAUUUUAUAACUAUAUGCUGCUGUUAUAGUAAUAUAUAUGUAAGUAUAAAAUUAAAUAUGUAAUAGAUUUAUUUUGUGGAAACCUUUUUUUUAAUCAUAAGAAUAUGAAAGGUUGUUCUAUUUAAAAUUAAUCUUUUCUUGUGGUAAGGAUAUUUUAAAUAAAGUCAAAAAUUAAUCUUAUUAUUUCCACAUAGGUGCUGUGGUAAAUAUAUACUUAUUCCUCAGUAGCAUUCUUUUUCAAUGUUGUUACAAAAUAAUACUACUAAAUCACAGUUCAGAUGACGUAAUGAUAAAAAAUAAGCCAAAUGUUAUGCUUUUUUAUUUGUUGUUUGAUUACAAUUUAUUGAUCUUGCUAGAAUAUGAAAAUUAAUAAAUAUCCUUAUAAAUUCAAUUAUACAUUGGAACUGAUCUGUGAUUAGUAACUGCCUCUUGAGACUGUAAUUACAGUCAUAAAAAUUACAAUACCCACUAGUUUAAUGAAAAUUUGAUUAAUAGCUUUGUGCAUAUUUAACUCUUUGUAUUCUCAAAACAAGUGUUAGUUACAAACUACUAUUAUAUUUUUGAGUCACUGUUGACGUUUUUACUCUUUGCAUUAUUUUUUGUUUUGUUAAAAAUAAAUUAAGUUAAUUUUAAAUAUAAAAUUUAACCACAUUGGUAACAAAAUUAUUUUUCUUAUUGGUUUGGCUCUGUCCCGUAAGAGCUAAAAUCGUUAUAUUUGUAUGCCCUUUGCUAGUGGGAUGUAAAUGCUGAAACCUCGCCAAGGGGCCCAACACCAUUGUAGUUCAAUGCAGUAAGAGACGGUUUCCCGAAAUUUCUGCGGGAACGACAUACAACGGGAUUUUACGUUCUACGCGGGUAGAACACUUGGGCGUAUCCUAGUAAAUAAAUUAUAAGUUUCGGUUUAGGUAUUCAGUUGAGAUAAAUCUCAAUCUGCGUUGUAUACCGUUGAUAUCCACUUCCACUGCGUGGGCUGUGGAAGUCGACAUGUGGAAAUUAAAUGUUAUUCAAUGUUAUAAGUAGGUUUUUUUUAUUAUUUAUCAUCUAUCGCAGCUUACCAUGGGUCGUCUCUUUAUAAUCUUUAUAUUAAUGCUCCUUCUAUGUGAGGUAUUAUCACAUCCGAAAAGAGUUAAACGUGUUGAAAUGUCCGAGGAGGUGAAGGACCGCCCUAUCUUAAGGUCUGGUUGGCUAGAUUCCCCA
This is a long non-coding RNA of Amyelois transitella, 2052 nucleotides long. RefSeq lists it as uncharacterized. The transcript has 2 exons. Lineage: Eukaryota; Metazoa; Arthropoda; Insecta; Lepidoptera; Pyralidae. The record is from RefSeq and is a predicted model, not a curated record.